Molecule: long non-coding RNA, 1565 nt
Filed under: Gadus morhua (Atlantic cod)
Lineage: Eukaryota; Metazoa; Chordata; Actinopteri; Gadiformes; Gadidae
Description: lncRNA (ENSGMOG00000032181.1)
Source: RNAcentral
CUUCCGAGUGAUGAGACCCAGACACCCCAGACCAAUGUAAACCUGUCCUCCUAUGUGCUUCCGAGUUAUGGGACCAUGAGGCCCCAGACCAAUGUGGACCUGUCUUAUGUGCUUCCGAGUUAUGGGACCAUGAGGCCCCAGACCAAUGUGGACCUGUCCUACUAUGUGGUAAUAACAACACACACCUCACUAAAAAUUAAUGUUUUGCACCUCCAAUUUUAUUUAAAUAUUUUAAGAAUUCCAUUCAUGAUAUACUAAUCAAACACACCUUAAUUUGUUUUCCCACUUCAUUAUGUGAACUUCCAAAUUAUAUUUUAGCUUCAGACCUUCAGACCUUCUGUAAUAUUUCCUUCUUGCAAUCUAUGGCAAUGAAUGAGACUAUGCACAGUAUAGGUGUAAAGCGAUUCUCAAUCAACGCAGCUGGUGUGUUCUAUACACUCAACAGAAUCUUUUGGUAAUCAGGCAUUGAUCUUCAGUCAUUACGGUAUAGCCUAGGGUUAAAGUAAGUGGAAGGGAUACAAUAUGAAAGUGUAUAUGGCUGUAACCAGAGAGAAUAGAUGAAAUUGAAAUGUGUGUGUGUGUGUGUGUGUGUGUGUGUGUGUGUGUGUGUGUGUGUGUGUGUGUGUGUGUGUGUGUGUGUGUGUGUGUGUGUGUGUGUGUGUGUGUGUGUGUGUGUGUGUGUCUCCCCUCCCCAUUCAUGCUUUCUACAUUUUCUGAUGUAAACACACCUUUAAAGUUUUUUUUUUAAUCACAUUUCUAAACAAAACCUGGCACUUGGACAAGGCACAAUUUUCCUCAACCUUGUCAUCGGCCUAAAACACACAGCCAUUGCCUUUUCUUGACUUCCUUUAACUUAUUUUGGUCUAUGUUCAAGCAAAGGUUAUGGAACCACCGGUCACAUUUAUCACACUGGAUCUGUUGAAUUGAAAAAACAACUAGAACUGCAAGCAGUUAUGCAGGGGUCCAAGAAGUGUGCAUUUCGCCGGCACAACGCGACAAGAAAUGUGCAUUUCGCUGGCACAACGCGAAGCAAGUAUUGAAAACGCUACCGUGAACAACAUGUGGAUAUCAAGGUUUUGACUGUGGGAGCUUCGGUGUGGGAGUUAUAGCCUAAAACGCGUUUUCAGCACAUUCCAUUGGCCAAAUAGGAGAUAGACAAUGUCGUCGUUUUUUGGCGCCGCCCUGUGGCGAAAUUUUCCAAAGACAAUUUUCCUUUGCCAAAUAACUCCCGCCCAUAUUAAUAAUUCUUGGCCAUAUUUUCUAUAUAGACUCGGGUUUGCCCCUUGAUGGUUUCCCUUGAGUUUGAAGAACAUUCCUUUGGCCAAUUAGAAGAUAUACAAUUUCCUCGUUUAUUGUGCCCCCUAAUGACGAAAUAUUCCGAAUUCUUUAUUGAACGCCAUUAAGGGUAGCACCGACAUGUGUCUAAAAUUUGGACUUGAUCCGAUGUCUAAUUUUGGUAUUUUUUUAAUUUUUGCGUUUCGACGUAAAACGUAGCUAAUAAACAAAUAUUCAAAACGCUACCGUUUCGUAGUCGAAGGUCGGAUCAAAAAGGUGUUUGAGUUUUU